Molecule: ribosomal RNA, 253 nt
Filed under: uncultured bacterium
Lineage: Bacteria
Description: partial 16S ribosomal RNA
Rfam family: Bacterial small subunit ribosomal RNA
Source: RNAcentral
UACGAAGGGGGCUAGCGUUGCUCGGAAUCACUGGGCGUAAAGGGUGCGUAGGCGGGUUUUUAAGUCAGGGGUGAAAUCCUGGAGCUCAACUCCAGAACUGCCUUUGAUACUGAAGAUCUUGAGUCCGGGAGAGGUGAGUGGAACUGCGAGUGUAGAGGUGAAAUUCGUAGAUAUUCGCAAGAACACCAGUGGCGAAGGCGGCUCACUGGCCCGAUACUGACGCUGAGGUGCGAAAGCGUGGGGAGCAAACAGG